UACGUAGGUGGCAAGCGUUAUCCGGAUUUAUUGGGUGUAAAGGGCGUGUAGGCGGGAGCGCAAGUCAGAUGUGAAAACUCAGGGCUUAACCCUGAGCCUGCAUUUGAAACUGUGUUUCUUGAGUGCUGGAGAGGCAAUCGGAAUUCCGUGUGUAGCGGUGAAAUGCGUAGAUAUAUGGAGGAACACCGGUGGCGAAAGCGGCUCUCUGGCCUGUAACUGACACUGAGGCUCGAAAGCGUGGGGAGCAAACAGG
RNAcentral lists this ribosomal RNA (253 nucleotides) under uncultured bacterium. RNAcentral describes it as "partial 16S ribosomal RNA". It matches the Rfam family "Bacterial small subunit ribosomal RNA", at positions 524 to 776 of the family's 1533-position model. The record is from RNAcentral.